UACGAAGGGUGCAAGCGUUACUCGGAAUUACUGGGCGUAAAGCGUGCGUAGGUGGUGAGUUAAGUCUGUCGUGAAAUCCCCGGGCUUAACCUGGGAACUGCGUUUGAAACUGGAAGGCUUGAGUGUGGCAGAGGGGGGUGGAAUUCCACGUGUAGCAGUGAAAUGCGUAGAGAUGUGGAGGAACACCGAUGGCGAAGGCAGCCCCCUGGGCUAACACUGACGCUCAUGCACGAAAGCGUGGGGAGCAAACAGG
This 253-nucleotide ribosomal RNA is filed under the name uncultured bacterium. Its description in RNAcentral is "partial 16S ribosomal RNA". It matches the Rfam family "Bacterial small subunit ribosomal RNA", at positions 524 to 776 of the family's 1533-position model. The record is from RNAcentral.